This is an unclassified non-coding RNA of Cavia porcellus (domestic guinea pig), 216 nucleotides long. The record is from Ensembl. NCBI's taxonomy places the organism in Eukaryota, Metazoa, Chordata, Mammalia, Rodentia, Caviidae.
AAACAGCCUCCUCCAAAAUGCAGCUGGACUGUGAUCCAUGGCAAAACACUGGAAUAACUCUGCCAGGUCCUAGAAGCUUUAAGAUUCAUCCCAUUAAACUUGAUACAUACAACAGCACCUUGAAAACGAACCAUCUUCUGGGUUCAGUGUUUUCUCCUUAUAAUCACUCCCUCCCAGGGUAUGCAAUUAAUUUACUGAGCUUUAAAAGAAAAAGUC